This 916-nucleotide ribosomal RNA is filed under the name Bacillus pumilus. Its description in RNAcentral is "partial 16S ribosomal RNA". It matches the Rfam family "Bacterial small subunit ribosomal RNA", at positions 331 to 1238 of the family's 1533-position model. The record is from RNAcentral. Lineage: Bacteria; Bacillati; Bacillota; Bacilli; Caryophanales; Bacillaceae.
CCAGACUCCUACGGGAGGCAGCAGUAGGGAAUCUUCCGCAAUGGACGAAAGUCUGACGGAGCAACGCCGCGUGAGUGAUGAAGGUUUUCGGAUCGUAAAGCUCUGUUGUUAGGGAAGAACAAGUGCGANNAGUAACUGNUCGNNNCUUGNCGGUACCUAACCAGAAAGCCNCGGCUAANUACNUGCCAGCAGCCGCGGUAAUACNUAGGUGGCAAGCGUUGUCCNGGAAUUAUUGGGCGUAAAGGGCUCGCAGGNGGUUUCUUAAGUCUGAUGUGAAAGCCCCCGGCUCAACCGGGGAGGGUCAUUGGAAACUGGGAAACUUGAGUGCAGAAGANGAGAGUGGAAUUCCACGUGUAGCGGUGAAAUGCGUAGAGAUGUGGAGGAACACCAGUGGCGAAGGCGACUCUCUGGUCUGUAACUGACGCUGAGGAGCGAAAGCGUGGGGAGCGAACAGGAUUAGAUACCCUGGUAGUCCACGCCGUAAACGAUGAGUGCUAAGUGUUAGGGGGUUUCCGCCCCUUAGUGCUGCAGCUAACGCAUUAAGCACUCCGCCUGGGGAGUACGGUCGCAAGACUGAAACUCAAANGAAUUGACGGGGGCCCGCACAAGCGGUGGAGCAUGUGGUUUAAUUCGAAGCAACGCGAAGAACCUUACCAGGUCUUGACAUCCUCUGACAACNCUAGAGAUANGGNNNUCCCUUCGGGGACAGAGUGACAGGUGGUGCAUGGUUGUCGUCAGCUCGUGUCGUGAGAUGUUGGGUUAAGUCCCGCAACGAGCGCAACCCUUGAUCUUAGUUGCCAGCAUUCAGUUGGGCACUCUAAGGUGACUGCCGGUGACAAACCGGAGGAAGGUGGGGAUGACGUCAAAUCAUCAUGCCCCUUAUGACCUGGGCUACACACGUGCUACAAUGGACAGA